AACGUUUUAUCCCCGAUUUCCUAGAUAAAGACUUAAAUAUUGUUGAAUGUUAUCAAACCUCUCUCGAACCUCGAUUUACGAGUAAUUGAGGUUCAUUUUCACGGAAUUUCCUAGAGUAAUACUAGUGAACGAAUUAUUCCUCGAUAUUUGGGAUAUGGGUGAUAAUUCACUAUUAUUUGCUCAGGCACGCACGAGGACCUCCAAGAGGACCCUACUGUGGAAGUUUGAACUCUUUCUCCAAUUUACUUGCUUGCAUAACUUGGUUUGAACUCGGAGGUAAAAUGGAGAAGCCCUCCUGAUGUAUUUUCGUUUUAGGGUUUGCUAUUACUUUUGGUUAUGCCUUUGAUUUUGGGAUUGUACUUUUGGUAUGGAAAUGUAACCUUUGGACGAAAUGUAUUUUGUAUACCGACGUGUGGUUUGGAGAAUGGAUGACUAUUAUUAAGUUUGAACGUUUCCGCAUUUUAUUGUAUCUAAGUUAUUGGCU
Molecule: non-coding RNA, 484 nt
Organism: Coffea arabica (coffee)
Lineage: Eukaryota; Viridiplantae; Streptophyta; Magnoliopsida; Gentianales; Rubiaceae
Source: RefSeq, a predicted model, not a curated record